UGUGUAUGAGGGUCACAUGCGUGCGAGAGAGUGAAUACUCGCACAUGUGCGCGCACCAUGCGAUUAUUGUGCGGGCAUUUUGUUACCUGGGUAUGUUCUGUGUCUCGAGAAGUGUGGAUACUUGUGAAAAAAAGAAGAAAACAAACAAAGAGAGAAGAGACGAUUGUCAUGCGAAAACGGGGACAACAACGAACGCCGGUCGACCGUGACCGGUUCGGCCGAUCAUUGACGUUGAAAAACUGUGGCGCGAUCUGAUUAGCGUGAACAUCGACCUAACCUAACCUAAUUCACGGAGCGUCAAGGGCGGAAAAAGUUUCUCCAAUCGGCGUGAAAAAUGUGAUUUCUCGCGUCUCGCAACCCGCGGCGAGUCUCGCGUUCACGCGAGGACUGCAGAGGAAGAAAUCGGACGAGAAAUGGAGAACUAUUCCGUACGCAUCAAUCCGCAGGCCGCCCGUGGAGAUGUUGCCGACGAGUCGCCUGCAUUUCACGACGCCCAACCGAAACAGCAUGCGGAUCACGUCAGAAAACGAGAGGACGUGAUCGUUCUAACGAGCGACACGAAGGGCGGUCUGUUCAAUUCCAGAGCUCUCCUCUUUCUCACCCUGUGGUAUGUCUUUAGUGGAUGUACAUUGUUUCUAAACAAAUAUAUACUGUCCUACAUGGAGGGUGAUCCCACGAUAUUGGGUGCUUGUCAAAUGUUGAUGACUGCAAUUUGUGGAUUGAUACAAAUGUACUUUCCCUGUGGUAUGUACAAAGCGAGUCCAAGGUUGAUGAGACCUCCAGGAUUUUACAAGCACAUGACACUCGUAGGCUGCACAAGGUUCGCCACAGUAGUGUUAGGUCUAGUAUCAUUAAAUUAUGUAGCUGUAAGUUUCACAGAAACUAUAAAAAGUAGCGCACCUCUUUUCACCGUCCUCAUCAGCAGGUAUUUAUUAGGGGAACACACAGGAUUAUAUGUAAAUCUAUCUUUAAUACCUGUAAUGGGUGGAUUGGCAUUGUGUUCCAUCAAUGAAAUUAGUUUCGAUCUUAGAGGGUUCAUCGCCGCUAUGGCCACAAAUGUAACAGAAUGUUUGCAAAAUGUUUACUCAAAAAUGUUGAUCAGCGGUGACAAUUUUAAAUAUACGCCAGCGGAAUUACAAUUUUAUACCAGUCUAGCGUCAAUUGUGGUACAAAUACCGGUAUCGAUACUGUUAGUCGAUUUACCUACUCUGGAGCAUUCCUUGAGUUUUAAAUUAUUCGCGGCAUUCCUUCUCAACGGAGUAUUCUUCCAUUUCCAAAGUAUUACCGCUUAUGUACUUAUGGACUAUAUCAGUCCCGUGACACACAGUGUUGCUAAUACUGCAAAGAGAGCUUUCCUAAUAUGGCUCUCCGUUCUAUUAUUUAACAAUCCUGUGACGGGAUUAUCGGCCCUCGGCACUUCCUCAGUUAUAGUAGGAGUAUUGCUGUACAAUCGGGCGCAGGAAUACGACAGGAUGAAUAGAACAAAGAAAAUACGAUACUCGUCGAAGAUCAAUUUGCAAUAGAACAAUUUUCCAGUCUACAAAGAUUUCAUGUGUAUGGGAAGAAAAAUAUGUGUGUCACUGCACCGAAUGUAUUGCAUUGGAGUUGGGAGUACAAACGAUACCCAUUUUCUUAUACAGCAGUAUUCUGUUCAGUGGAAACGCAAAGAUAGUACGUAUUUAUAAGAUUAAGACGAAGGACAAUCAAUAAAAAUUGUUUUUUUUUUUUAAUUUAAUAAUUUCUAGUGAAUUUUUGUGAUAUAUUAAGAACAAUUAGUUUGAUCUCGUUUGCAAUUUGUAAUAUAAAUCAUUAAUAACUAAAUAUCGCUGUGAAAUGUAAUUUAUUUGAUUUGUAAACUUGAAAAUACUUUUAUUUGUACAUUUAGAAAUGUCUGACAGGUAUGGUAAACCAAGAGAAAUCGGGACGAGUGAACUAUAUGUUAAAAAAGUAUCUGAUUACUGUAUUAUACAAGUGUUCCUAAUGUAAAUGUAUAAAAAAAAUCGUAAGAUGUAU
This is an RNA transcript of Trachymyrmex cornetzi, 2013 nucleotides long. It is a transcript of the gene named solute carrier family 35 member E2, with no coding region annotated. The record is from RefSeq and is a predicted model, not a curated record. The transcript has 6 exons. Lineage: Eukaryota; Metazoa; Arthropoda; Insecta; Hymenoptera; Formicidae.